CUUUGUGACCCUACAGACUGUAGCCCGCCAUGUUCCUCUGUCCAUGAGCCUCUCCAGGUGCCACGCUGUCUCAGCGACAUUAUCUUCACGACAAUCACUGGCAUCAACCAGAGCAAGUCAUCCUUCCUUGCUCCAGCUCAAGACAUCCUCACGAUUGGCCUUUAACCUUUAAAACAAGUUUCAAAUUCGCCUUGCCAAGUUUCCCAAUGAAAGGGGCAUUCGACUGGUAAUGCGUGCCACCGAGCGUCUGACCGGAAGUGGUGAUGUAUGAGCAGCCUGGUUCGUUUUCAGUCUCUGGAGACACCGUUCGGUUUUCGCCACUACCUGUGCAGUCGCUUCGGCGACCGUGGCGCUGGAGGUCCACGUACUUUAGGGACAUUAAAGUGAUACCUGGCAGUGCAGUCAGCGUCCCACCUCCAGUCACCCUAUCAGCAGCGAGAGGAGGAAGCGCCCUGGCACAGGGAGGGGCUUCUCGCAGAGGGGGCAGCGGGACUAACACCGCCGCCUCUCUCCCCGUCCAAGACCAGACAGUAAGUGCGGUUCGGAUGCCAGCUCACGCACGCUGACUCGAGAGAUGUGAAUCCACGAGGGAGUUUCAGCCCCAGCUCCUCCCCUCCGGCACCGUCCUGCUCUCCUUAGGGACCCUCUACACAUCUGCAGAAGCCCUUCCCGGAACGACCACCUCCUGUCCUGGUUCAGGGUGAUCGUAGUACAGGUGUGGAGGACAGCCUCUGGGAUCUGGGGGGGCAAGACACAGCCUCACCUUCAGGUGUCAAGACCAGACCUGGUGGUCCUUGGAGCCUCGGACAGACUCGGGGAGAUGUCUGGCUCCCACCAGCAGAGUGGCUUCAGGUCCCCCCCUGUGAAGUUCAGAUCAUAGUGUCUUCCCAGUGGGGCUGGUGUGAGUAGCAUUUGGUGCCUAAGAAGCGCUCAGGAUUUUUUUUUUCUCUUCCCCUGUGUUAAGUGCUCAGUCACCAGAACUUUCUGGAAAUCAGGUGAGGGAGGGAGGGGUCUUACUCCUCCUCAUACCCCAGUCAAAGCCUCAGUGUGUUGCCUGGGCGGAGCUGG
Long non-coding RNA from Ovis aries (sheep), 1068 nucleotides. The record is from Ensembl. Lineage: Eukaryota; Metazoa; Chordata; Mammalia; Artiodactyla; Bovidae.